RNAcentral lists this unclassified non-coding RNA (287 nucleotides) under Hevea brasiliensis (rubber tree). The record is from RNAcentral. Lineage: Eukaryota; Viridiplantae; Streptophyta; Magnoliopsida; Malpighiales; Euphorbiaceae.
GAAAAAUAUAAAUUGUUAAAAAAUAUUUAUAAAUUUUUUGGUUAGCACAAAAACUCACAUGUUAAACACCAUUUAUUAUCGUGUGCAACACAAGUAAAUGAUGACUUGUUAAUUAAAGUUUAGUACAAGGUGGAAGUGCGUGUGGAGAUAGUUAGAGCCAUUUAAUGAAGCCUUUGUUAUCAGUUAACAUUUUCAGCACAAAGGAGAAGUAGGUUUGUGCUUGUCCAAACUUCAAGUCUAGAAAACUUUUGCACGAGGGAGUGUGUUAGAGAUAGUUAGAGAUGUUA